RNAcentral lists this ribosomal RNA (403 nucleotides) under Fusobacteriota bacterium. RNAcentral's name for it is "Fusobacteria bacterium partial 16S ribosomal RNA". It matches the Rfam family "Bacterial small subunit ribosomal RNA", at positions 355 to 776 of the family's 1533-position model. Lineage: Bacteria; Fusobacteriati; Fusobacteriota. The record is from RNAcentral.
UGGGGAAUAUUGCACAAUGGAGGGCACUCUGAUGCAGCGACGCCGCGUGAACGAAGAAGGCUUUCGAGUCGUAAAGUUCUUUUAUAUGGGAAGAUAAUGACGGUACCAUAAGAAAAAGCCCCGGCUAACUACGUGCCAGCAGCCGCGGUAAUACGUAGGGGGCUAGCGUUGUCCGGAAUCACUGGGCGUAAAGGGGUCGCAGGCGGAAAUGCAAGUCAGGUGUAAAAGGCAGUAGCUUAACUACUGUAAGCAUGUGAAACUGCAUAUCUUGAGAAGAGUAGAGGUAAGUGGAAUUUUUAGUGUAGCGGUGAAAUGCGUAGAUAUUAAAAAGAAUACCGGUGGCGAAGGCGACGUACUGGGCUCAUGCUGACGCUGAGGAACGAAAGCGUGGGUAGCAAACAGG